RNAcentral lists this ribosomal RNA (458 nucleotides) under uncultured bacterium. Its description in RNAcentral is "bacterial SSU rRNA". It matches the Rfam family "Bacterial small subunit ribosomal RNA", at positions 34 to 507 of the family's 1533-position model. The record is from RNAcentral.
CGCUGGCGGCGUGCUUAACACAUGCAAGUCGAACGGUGAAGGGGAGCUUGCUCCCGGAUCAGUGGCGAACGGGUGAGUAACACGUGGGCAACCUGCCCCAGACUUCGGGAUAACGCUUCGAAAGAGGUGCUAAUACCGGAUACGAACUCCUUGGGCAUCCCGGGAGUUGGAAAGUUUUUCGGUCUGGGAUGGGCCCGCGGCCUAACAGCUUGUUGGUGAGGUAACGGCUCACCAAGGCGACGACGGGUAGCCGGCCUGAGAGGGCGACCGGCCACACUGGGACUGAGACACGGCCCAGACUCCUACGGGAGGCAGCAGUGGGGAAUAUUGCGCAAUGGGCGAAAGCCUGACGCAGCAACGCCGCGUGAGGGAUGACGGCCUUCGGGUUGUAAACCUCUUUCAGCAGGGAAGAAGCGAAAGUGACGGUACCUGCAGAAGAAGCACCGGCUAACUACGUG